This 1795-nucleotide unclassified non-coding RNA is filed under the name Hevea brasiliensis (rubber tree). The record is from RNAcentral. Lineage: Eukaryota; Viridiplantae; Streptophyta; Magnoliopsida; Malpighiales; Euphorbiaceae.
GCCCUUCCUAGAACAUGCUCACUGUUUAUAUGAUUUCCUGGUAUAAUGUUAUGCAGAGGCAACAAACAGCGAAACUGGCAUACUAAGGACUCAACUUCUAUAGAUAAUAAACAAUUCAGCAGUCGUCACAGACCACAAGAACAUAUACAAAAAAAAACUGUACAAAUGCUAUCGUUAUCACAAUGGAUUACUCUAAGUAGGUUGACUUGAUUCGAUAAAUUCAAACCCAGAAAGCUGUGCAAGCUCUGACAGUUCUUGCUCUCCACUCAAAACCUGACCAUUGAUCACCCAUGUUGGAAAUCCCUCGAUUUUAGCAUCUGCACAUGCCUUGGCUAUUUUAGUUCCUUUCCUGUAUCCGUCAGGAAAGCAUUCCACAUAGUCCAACAUUUCCAAUGCCUCCUUUCCAAACAUCUGUUUUUGUUCUAAACAAUGUGAACACCAGAAAGCCCCAUACAUUUUAGCUCCAAUGGAAUGCAGAUGCUUUGCCAGUGAAACAGCAAAAGGACUUGAUGGCGUGGUUAUUUCAGAGGUAAAAUAUGGUAGGUCAAUUUCAGCCUGGCUGUAUAUAUAGAAAUGAUCGAGAAAAUGUUAGGGUGAAUGCUCACUUGCAGAAAAAGAUGGGCAGGCAUCUUAAAGUAUAAUUAGAGAAGCAUGUAGCAACCAAGCAACAUAUACAUCUAUUCUAACUAUCAGAUGCCACUACCUCCCUCAUACUUGCCAAGAUUAUAACUUGCCAUUAAUAAAUCCAAAGAAUUGACUAUCUAGCCAAGAUUACUACUGCUCAUCUAACCAGUGAGUAGCAGUAACUAACAUCCACAGACCAAAAACACAAAUAGGUGGCUCCAGGAACCAAAAUAUACAGCUGGAAUUUUUGAAGAGGGAAAAAAUUCUUAUAUAACUGCUCAUGAAAGUGAAACAAAGAUGCCAUGAUCUAUGCACAGAUUUAAUCACCUUGAGGAGACGGAUGGAGAAGUACCAUAUGAGGUGCUCAGGGCAGCAAUCACCAAGAUUGCUAUAGACAACUGCAAACCCAAUACUUUCUGUAUCUCUUGUAACCCAAAAUCCUUUAUAGUGAUGAAAAAUAAGCUGAGUGACAAGAAAGCUGACAUUAGGCAGUAUGAGCAAGAUGCUCCUGAGAAUUUUGUGCUAAGAAUGUACAAAAAAUAUCCACUAGCAGUUGCCAUGGAGGUAGUGAUCGCAAGUAAAAGCAAACGACCAUUAGACUCGCCAAUUCCAAAGGGUAAGUUAUUUCCUUUCAACUGUAACCCAAGUGCUGAAACAAAACCAUAUGCUACUAUCCCAAAGACUGGAAGAGGAACACCAAAAACGAUAGCGUAAUCACUGUUCAGUACGUCGCCGCAGCUGCCACCACCAACAGGGCAAAAGGCAUCGGAAUCGGUGAGCUUGAGGUAAGUCAAAUAUACAGUUUCUAGAAACCCUAUACCUCCGAGAGCUGCACACCAAUUGUAUGUAGAAAUGCUCGAAGAUGAAAAGGAUGAAGACGAAGAGGAAGAGGAAGAAGACGCCGCCGUUUCGGAUUCUGAUUCCGCAUCUUGACUCGGCCCAGAGGACAUGCACUUCACUGUCAAACCUCGACACCAAACCUUGAAUUGGGUUAUGGGCGUAAUGGAACGAGGAGGAAGAGAAGGGAGAGGUGAGGAUCCACACAGGAAUGGAGGAGACGAGAUGUUGAGGAAGCUAGCCAUUGUUGCCCUCUCUCUUCUUCACCGUACAAACAUGUGGCCAAGGUCUAGUUUCUUUUCUGCUCAGUUAACAGGGUGCAGUUGAUUUUCAG